RNAcentral lists this transfer RNA (76 nucleotides) under Propionispora hippei DSM 15287. Its description in RNAcentral is "tRNA_Ala_CGC". It matches the Rfam family "tRNA". Rfam says of the family: Transfer RNA (tRNA) molecules are approximately 80 nucleotides in length. Their secondary structure includes four short double-helical elements and three loops (D, anti-codon, and T loops). Lineage: Bacteria; Bacillati; Bacillota; Negativicutes; Selenomonadales; Sporomusaceae. The record is from RNAcentral. RNAcentral also lists the same sequence under 2 other names.
GGGGGCGUAGCUCAGUCGGGAGAGCGCUUGGCUCGCAUUCAAGAGGUCAUGGGUUCGAAUCCCACCGUCUCCACCA